Long non-coding RNA from Triplophysa rosa, 1365 nucleotides. RefSeq lists it as uncharacterized. The transcript has 3 exons. The record is from RefSeq and is a predicted model, not a curated record. Lineage: Eukaryota; Metazoa; Chordata; Actinopteri; Cypriniformes; Nemacheilidae.
GGGCAUAUAUUUUAUUUAAUAUAUUUUUUAUACGUCGUGACACGCCAUCUAACUACUAUUUCCUCCGUCUAGAUUUACAAGGGUCUAUAGAGCGACCGGUAUAUAUUGACCUGACACAUGACGAGGAGGCUGGCUCCAGCAGCGCAUCGAUAGAUCUUACCGCGUCUGAAGAGGAGGUUGGCUCCAGCAGAGCGGUUCUGGACCCCUCAUUAUUAAUCGGAGUUGUGAUCUUACCGCGGGUGGUGACGCAGGCAGCGUAGUGCAAGAGCCGUCAUUAUUCAUCGAAAGGAGUUGUGGAUCCGGUGACGAUCUAACUGGACAGAUACACAGCUGAACGUUUGGGAGCGUUCGUCUUGGUCCAGCGAGCGAGAGGAGAGGUCUCCGAUAAGGCGUCAGCAGACACCGUUAGCCGAACAAGAAGACACCGACGACGAACGAUCAUCAUCGGCGAGGGGUAUACAGACACCGUUUGCUCUUCAAGAUCAAAAUACUGUCUCGCUAGAUCAACUCAACGCUAUCUUAAGAGAGUCUAAUAUUCCUUUACACGAGUCCAUUGACAGACUGUGGGGUUCUGUCGGCGAGAUACAUACGAUUCUUAUGAGAUUGUAUGCUUUUAUCGAAGGUGUUAAUCAUCGCGACUAAGCGCUGGAGAAUUCUUUCAACCGUUUGCUCGAGUCAUCAAACGAACAGAUGCGAGAAAGGCGUCUAAUGGUUGAACUCCUCUGUGCUAUAAAAGCCGUACUAUUUUCUAGAUAAUCACUAUUUUUAUAUUGACCAAUGAUCGCUAUAAGUUUUUUACAUUUAUCUCUAUAUCUUAUAAUCGAUUUUUACAUUUACAAUUUUAUCUCUAUAUCUUAUAAUUUAUAUUUUACAUUUACAAUUUUAUCUCUAUAUCUUACAAUCAAUAUUUUUAUAUUACCAUUUAUAUCUAUAUCUGUUUUAUAUCUAUUCACCAUUUAUUUUUGUAUUUGCUUUGCAACGUGACAUAAUUCCUCUUUGUUAGUGACGAAACCAUACGGGAGGGAUGGCAGAUGAAAAAAGUUCAGAGGCCGGGGAUAGCUGUCAUCCAGAUCAAACUCUCUCAGACCUGUUACAGGAUGCGAUCGGAAUGCAUGCAGAGACCCAUCAUCAUAACGCCGAUAGACUACGACUACUGUUAAAUACACACCCUGUACAUGAGCAAACUUUUAAUACCGCACCGCCCCAACAGUUUUCUAAUUUGGAAUAUUUGGAAGCUGCGAUACGUGAAAGUACAGAUUUUAAUCCAUGCAUCAGACUAUGCGAAAUAUUAAAUACGAGGGUCACAAACACCGAACAAGACGGCAGUGGGUUAUCAGAUACAAUCGUCCCGACUACUGACUCUGC